AGGCUGUGAUAUGAAUAAUUAUACCAUCAAACUUUGAAAGUUUAUAUAUUAAACUUGUUGAUUCAAAUACAAUUCUCUGAUGCCU
Solanum pennellii is the source of this 85-nucleotide small nucleolar RNA. RefSeq annotates it as small nucleolar RNA snoR116. The transcript has a single exon. The record is from RefSeq and is a predicted model, not a curated record. NCBI's taxonomy places the organism in Eukaryota, Viridiplantae, Streptophyta, Magnoliopsida, Solanales, Solanaceae.